This 479-nucleotide ribosomal RNA is filed under the name uncultured bacterium. RNAcentral's name for it is "bacterial SSU rRNA". It matches the Rfam family "Bacterial small subunit ribosomal RNA", at positions 26 to 521 of the family's 1533-position model. The record is from RNAcentral.
AGGAUGAACGCUGGCGGCGUGCCUAACACAUGCAAGUCGAGCGAGGAGGAGGAAGCUUGCUUCCAAAUCCUAGCGGCGGACGGGUGAGUAACGCGUGGGCAACCUACCCUAUGCAGGGGGAUAACAUUGGGAAACCAGUGCUAGUACCGCAUAAAGCCGAGAAGGGGCAUCCCUUCAUGGUCAAAGAACUUCGGCAUAGGAUGGGCCCGCGUCUGAUUAGUUAGUUGGUAAGGUAAAAGCUUACCAAGACGAUGAUCAGUAGCCGACCUGAGAGGGUGACCGGCCACACUGGAACUGAGACACGGUCCAGACUCCUACGGGAGGCAGCAGUGGGGAAUAUUGCACAAUGGGGGAAACCCUGAUGCAGCAACGCCGCGUGAGCGAAGAAGGCCUUCGGGUCGUAAAGCUCUGUCCUAAGGGAAGAUAAUGACGGUACCUUAGGAGGAAGCCCCGGCUAACUACGUGCCAGCCGCCGCGGU